RNAcentral lists this ribosomal RNA (219 nucleotides) under uncultured bacterium. Its description in RNAcentral is "partial 16S ribosomal RNA". It matches the Rfam family "Bacterial small subunit ribosomal RNA", at positions 524 to 745 of the family's 1533-position model. The record is from RNAcentral.
UACGUAGGUGGCAAGCGUUGUCCGGAAUUAUUGGGCGUAAAGCGCGCGCAGGUGGUUCCUUAAGUCUGAUGUGAAAGCCCACGGCUCAACCGUGGAGGUCAUUGGAAACUGGGAACUUGAGUGCAGAAGAGGAAAGUGGAAUUCCAAGUGUAGCGGUGAAAUGCGUAGAGAUUUGGAGGAACACCAGUGGCGAAGGCGACUUCUGGUCUGUAACUGACA